Molecule: ribosomal RNA, 349 nt
Filed under: Anabaena sp. M3
Lineage: Bacteria; Bacillati; Cyanobacteriota; Cyanophyceae; Nostocales; Nostocaceae
Description: bacterial SSU rRNA
Rfam family: Bacterial small subunit ribosomal RNA
Source: RNAcentral
UCUCAAGGAAGAAAAAAAUGACGGUACUUGAGGAAUAAGCAUCGGCUAACUCCGUGCCAGCAGCCGCGGUAAUACGGAGGAUGCAAGCGUUAUCCGGAAUGAUUGGGCGUAAAGCGUCCGCAGGUGGCUGUGAAAGUCUGCUGUUAAAGAAUGAGGCUCAACCUCAUCAGAGCAGUGGAAACUACACGGCUAGAGUGCGUUCGGGGUAGAGGGAAUUCCUGGUGUAGCGGUGAAAUGCGUAGAUAUCAGGAAGAACACCGGUGGCGAAGGCGCUCUACUAGGCCGCAACUGACACUGAGGGACGAAAGCUAGGGGAGCGAAUGGGAUUAGAUACCCCCAGUAGUCAAAA